Molecule: long non-coding RNA, 378 nt
Organism: Eurytemora carolleeae
Lineage: Eukaryota; Metazoa; Arthropoda; Copepoda; Calanoida; Temoridae
Exons: 4
Source: RefSeq, a predicted model, not a curated record
CUUUUAAUCAUGCUUGAUUUUGAUUUAUUUUGUUUCAUUCAAUAAAUGGCGGUUAUAGCGGUUUGUUCAAUCAGUUUAAAUUUAAAAUUCAAGCUAAAGCAUUAAAACUGAGGAUGAAACUAUAUCUGGUUUUGGUAUUAUUGUUGGCUCUGUUCUUUAGCUCAAGCAAAGCUAAACAAUAUCUUGUGGAAACUGAAGAUGAAAACCCAGUCAAAGAUGUAAAACAACCUAAGACGCAAGUUCCGUCAGGAACUGCUAAGUCUGGUGACGACUAUAUAAAUUGGUGAUUCACAUGGUUUCUGGAAAGUAAUUUUGUAAAAUAAAUUAUAUUAAAAAAGUUCAAAAUUAUUCAAUAAAUUUAGUUGUUUUCUUUCAAAA